GUGAGUCAUCGAAUCUUUGAACGCAUCUUGCGCUUGCUGGUAUUCCGGCAAGCAUGCCUGUUUGAGUGUCAUGAAAAUUAUCAACCAUGACUUGGGUUUAGGCCCUUGUUCUUGGCUUGGAUUUGGGUGCUUGCGGUCUUGUGCUGCUCACCUUAAAAGGAUUAGCUGGACAUGUCUUUUGACUUGGUUCUACUUGGCGUAAUAAGUAUUUCGCUGAGGACAUCCCUUCUGGGGUGGCCAAGACUCUGGCAAACGUCUGCUUUCUAACUCGACUGUCCUCGGACAUCACUUUUUAUGAUC
RNAcentral lists this unclassified non-coding RNA (300 nucleotides) under uncultured Piskurozyma. RNAcentral's name for it is "sequence contains 5.8S rRNA gene, ITS2". The stretch from base 1 to 71 matches the Rfam family "5.8S ribosomal RNA", at positions 84 to 154 of the family's 154-position model. The record is from RNAcentral. Lineage: Eukaryota; Fungi; Basidiomycota; Tremellomycetes; Filobasidiales; Piskurozymaceae.